ACGGUACCUGAAGAAGAAGCACCGGCUAACUACGUGCCAGCAGCCGCGGUAAUACGUAGGGUGCGAGCGUUAAUCGGAAUUACUGGGCGUAAAGCGUGCGCAGGCGGCUUUGUAAGACAGGUGUGAAAUCCCCGGGCUUAACCUGGGAACUGCGCUUGUGACUGCAAGGCUCGAGUGUGGCAGAGGGGGGUGGAAUUCCACGUGUAGCAGUGAAAUGCGUAGAGAUGUGGAGGAACACCGAUGGCGAAGGCAGCCCCCUGGGUCAACACUGACGCUCAUGCACGAAAGCGUGGGUAGCAAACAGGAUUAGAUACCCUGGUAGUCCACGCCCUAAACGAUGCCAACUAGGUGUUGGGGAAGGAGACUUCCUUAGUACCGUAGCUAACGCGUGAAGUUGGCCGCCUGGGGAGUACGGUCGCAAGAUUAAAACUCAAAGGAAUUGACGGGGACCCGCACAAGCGGUGGAUGAUGUGGAUUAAUUCGAUGCAACGCGAAAAACCUUACCUACCCUUGACAUGCCAGGAACCCUGCUGAGAGGUGGGGGUGCUCGAAAG
RNAcentral lists this ribosomal RNA (554 nucleotides) under uncultured bacterium. Its description in RNAcentral is "bacterial SSU rRNA". It matches the Rfam family "Bacterial small subunit ribosomal RNA", at positions 472 to 1024 of the family's 1533-position model. The record is from RNAcentral.